UACAGAGGUCUCAAGCGUUGUUCGGAUUCAUUGGGCGUAAAUGGUGCGUAGGCGGCGCGGUAAGUCGGGUGUGAAAUCUCGGAGCUUAACUCCGAAACUGCAUUCGAUACUGCCGUGCUUGAGGACUGGAGAGGAGACUGGAAUUUACGGUGUAGCGGUGAAAUGCGUAGAUAUCGUAAGGAAGACCAGUGGCGAAGGCAGCCCCCUGGGUCGACACUGACGCUCAGGCACGAAAGCGUGGGGAGCAAACAGG
RNAcentral lists this ribosomal RNA (253 nucleotides) under uncultured bacterium. RNAcentral's name for it is "partial 16S ribosomal RNA". It matches the Rfam family "Bacterial small subunit ribosomal RNA", at positions 524 to 776 of the family's 1533-position model. The record is from RNAcentral.